Molecule: non-coding RNA, 742 nt
Organism: Mus caroli (Ryukyu mouse)
Lineage: Eukaryota; Metazoa; Chordata; Mammalia; Rodentia; Muridae
Source: RefSeq, a predicted model, not a curated record
AUGGCCGUCAUGGAGGACGGCGAGGAACCCUGCGUCCUUUCUUUGCACUCCAGAGCGCAGGCUCCAAGUCGGGAGGAGACAAAUGUUCUCCCUCAAGAAGUGGAACUCGGUAGCCAUGUGGAGCUGGGACAUUGAGUGUGAUACCUGUGCCAUCUGCAGGGUCCAGGUGAUGGAUGCCUGUCUUAGAUGUCAAGCUGAAAACAAGCAAGAGGACUGUGUCAUGGUCUGGGGAGAGUGUAACCAUUCCUUCCACAACUGCUGCAUGUCCUUGUGGGUGAAACAGAACAAUUGCUGCCCUCUGUGCCAGCAGGACUGGGUGGUCCAAAGAAUCGGCAAAUGAGAGGUGGCUCAGGUGCUCCUGGUGUGGUUGCUGACCCUGGACAACCUUGCCAUCGAGUUACUGGACAAAGACUAAACACUGCAGGGGAUUCACCCUUGAGAAAGAGAGGAUGCUGUAUGCCUUUGAGACUCACCAAAGGCAUGCUUUAUUAAUUUGUCUGUUUAGUUUUGGGAAAUUCUCUACAAUUAAGAUAAUUUGUUAAAAAUGGCCUUUCCUACCUCUGUGGUGUGUGUGUGAUACGUAUGCAUAGAAGAGCGAGAACACCAGAAAAUGAUCUUUGUUUAUCUGUCAGUACCCACGACUGUGGGAACAUUGUGUUCACAGAAGAACAUUGUUUGUGUUUAUGCUUGAGGGUUAAAAAGUAGAUAAAAGAAUGUUACAGUAACAAAUAAAAUACAUUGA